GUGGGGAAUCUUCCGCAAUGGACGAAAGUCUGACGGAGCAACGCCGCGUGAGUGAAGAAGGUUUUCGGAUCAUAAAGCUCUUUCGUUAGGGACGAACGUGCUCUUUGUGAAUAAUGAGGAGUAAUGACGGUACCUAAAUAAGAAGCCACGGCUAACUACGUGCCAGCAGCCGCGGUAAUACGUAGGUGGCAAGCGUUGUCCGGAAUUAUUGGGCGUAAAGCGCGCGCAGGCGGGAUAUCAAGUCUGUCUUAAAAGUGCGAGGCUCAACCUCGUGAGGGGACAGAAACUGGUAUUCUUGAGUGUCGGAGAAGAAAGUGGAAUUCCAAGUGUAGCGGUGAAAUGCGUAGAGAUUUGGAAGAACACCAGUGGCGAAGGCGACUUUCUGGACGAUGUCUGACGCUGAGGCGCGAAAGCUAGGGGAGCGAACGGGAUUAGAAACCCUUGUAGUCC
This 450-nucleotide ribosomal RNA is filed under the name uncultured bacterium. RNAcentral's name for it is "partial 16S ribosomal RNA". It matches the Rfam family "Bacterial small subunit ribosomal RNA", at positions 354 to 796 of the family's 1533-position model. The record is from RNAcentral.